AAGAUUUGACAUCGUACAAUGCAGCAAGCCAAAUCUGCAGAUUAAAGAAUGUUUUAACCUGCAGAAUAAGACUCGUGCAACCGGCCCUUAAGAAAAUACUUAAUUCGAGGCAAAGUCGAUUCGAUUUGCCAACACUGUCUUCAUUCUUUGAAGGAUCGGACACUUCCAAUCAAAAGCGUUAUGGUCGGUUUUGGUAGCCUUUUCAUUGUGACAAUUGUUACAGACUGGUGUUCUCUCCUUAUUUCGUCAUUCUUUGUACCUAUGUAAUUCAUUACACUGGCUGCAUGUUGGUAGGCCAUCUUUGCAAUCCUUUGCUAAAUGUCCGACUUUAUAGCAGUUAUAACACUGCAUUACGGAGAGAAAAUUCUCGACCUUCACCGCACCCAUUCUAUGUUUACUUUUUGGCUCUUCACAUGAUGUGCAUGCAGCCUGCCAGACACCUCAAACACACACAGCUGCAGGCUUGCCUCUCCUUAUUCCCCAGUUGGAAGCGGGGAAUACACUUCUGUGACAGCUCUUCCUGUGUGUUAUACAUUGCUGUUAAUUCUUCAUUUUGCUCAUAGAGCAAAAUGAAGAAUUAACAGCUCACGAUAUCCGUUCUUUGGAUAGUUGUUGUAAUGCCAGUGACUAUUACUCGAGGCCGCCUUGGCUUCGGCUCUCGAGCAUUCAGAUCAGGAAUGUUCUGCACUGCAGUUGUCAGUUUCGCUUUAUCUGAAGGAUGGGCCACCUCCACCUCCACCACUAGCCUGCCUCUCUUCAUCUUCCUUAAACUUUUCACCCCGAUCUUAAGGGUUGCAGUGCUUAUCUUUUCUUUCAGGAUCUUUGUAGCUUCCGCAUCCUGACUUUCAUUGUGAGGGUCGAUUACUAUUAUCUCUCAUGUUACAGGUUUCGGCCUCGGACCUAUUCCUGCUACAGCAGCAUAGGUGAGUGCCACUUAUUCCUUUUGCUGGGAUAAUUUGUCCACCUUCUCUGUGUGCUUAUUGAGCUUUGAGAUUUCUCUUGCUCUUCAAUUAUAUACGAUAACUGGUUGACUUUUCCAGUUAUUAAAUUAAAAUGUUCUUUUGUUGCAUACAGUACCCCAGUUGUUCUGCAGAUACUGCACUAGAUCUGCCUGCAGGCUCCUGGCCAGCCCAAGACAGGGACUUUCCCUCUGAACACCAUCCACUUCACUGUCACUUGAGGAAUGUCUUUUCCUGUUGGGAGUCACUUUCUCCCCCAUGGAGCAGACAGCCUCCAUGUCUUCAUCUGUGUUCUAUUGCACGGCCACUGAUUAGCUUCACCUGUAGGGGGAAAUCCCAGCCCAAACUGGUUGCUGAC
RNAcentral lists this long non-coding RNA (1317 nucleotides) under Androctonus crassicauda. Lineage: Eukaryota; Metazoa; Arthropoda; Arachnida; Scorpiones; Buthidae. The record is from RNAcentral.